AUACCGGCGGCUCGAGUGGUGGCCGCUAUUACUGGGCUUAAAGGGUCCGUAGCUUGAUAUACAAGUCCCUUGAGAAAUCCGCCAGCUUAACUGGCGGGCGUUCAGGGGUAACUGUAUUUCUAGGGACCGGGAGAGGUGAGAGGUACUGCCGGGGUAGGAGUGAAAUCCUGUAAUCCCGGUGGGACCACCUAUGGCGAAGGCAUCUCACCAGAACGGGUCCGACAGUGAGGGACGAAAGCUGGGGGAGCAAACCGGAUUAGAUACCCGGGUAGUCCCAGCUGUAAACGAUGCGCGUUAGGUGUGUCAGUGACCACGUGUCACUGAGGUGCCGAAGGGAAACCGUGAAACGCGCCGCCUGGGGAGUACGCUCGCAAGGCUGAA
RNAcentral lists this ribosomal RNA (381 nucleotides) under uncultured archaeon. RNAcentral describes it as "bacterial SSU rRNA". It matches the Rfam family "Archaeal small subunit ribosomal RNA", at positions 473 to 853 of the family's 1478-position model. The record is from RNAcentral.